This is an RNA transcript of Daucus carota subsp. sativus, 1643 nucleotides long. It is a transcript of the gene named trihelix transcription factor ENAP1, with no coding region annotated. The transcript is spliced from 3 exons. The record is from RefSeq and is a predicted model, not a curated record. Lineage: Eukaryota; Viridiplantae; Streptophyta; Magnoliopsida; Apiales; Apiaceae.
AAUCAUCGUGUGAGAAAAGAUAAAAAAGAAUUCUUUAUUUUCUUCGUUCUUGAAAGUCAGAAAUUUGCAAUUCAGACACAGACCCAGAUCUCUAAAAACACCACUCAACCACCACAUUACCACCCACCACAACCAAAGAAACCCAACCCGAAUCAUAAUCUAAAUCAUCGAACCCCAUCAUUCUAAAUCAUCAAAAUCAAAACCCCAUCAAUCUAUCUUUUCAAAUUCUUGAAUGGCUUCACCAUCUUCGUCACCAUCAAACAACAAAGCCCCCAUUUUUAAUCCCACAAAUUCACCAAAAUCAGCAACCCCCACCAUCAAGAAACCCCAACCUCUCCCUUGGACUCACCAAGAAACAAUAAAUUUAAUCCAAUCUUACCAAGAUAAAUGGUACUCUCUCAAAAAGGGUCAGCUCAAAUCUUCCCAAUGGGAAGAAGUUUCUGUCACUGUUGCUGCCCGGUGUGGCUAUGAUCAGCCCUCCAAGUCAGCUACUCAAUGCCGCCAUAAGAUUGAGAAACUGCGUAAACGAUAUAGGGCUGAGAGGCUUAAGCCUUACCCUGAUUCUUGGCCUUAUUUUGAUAUGAUGGAUUGUAUGGAAACCGGUCCCUUUCCUGUUACGAUGGCUCGGCCGGUGUCCAUGGUGCAAUGUGAUCAAGAUAGUGAUGACAGUGAUGUCGAUUGUAAUUUGAACAAGUCGAGGAGUAUUAAUCGUAUUGUCAAAGGGGGGAAUUGUGGUAAUGUUGGUAGUGUGGAGAGAAAUGUGAGAGCUUUCGGGGGUUCAAGAAAGCCCAGUAUUGGGAAAAGGAAGGAUUUUUAUGAGAUUGAUGAGGAGGAGGAGGAUGAGGAGGUGGAUGAUGAGGGUGAGGGAGAGGAAGGGGGAGAAGGGAGUCGUGUAGUGAUGGAAUUGGCUGGUCAAAUUAGGACAUUUGCCGAGAAUUUCGUUAGAGUGGAGCAGAAGAAGGUUCAGAUGAUGAGGGAAACCGCCAAGUACCAGAUGGAAAUGGAGAAUAAGAGGAUGAAAAUGAUUAUUGAAUCACAGAAAAAGAUUGUUGAGACUAUUCACGAGGCUUUUAGCGAUUCUCACAAGAAAAUGAAGACGGCUCCAUGAUUUUUUUCAAGAUCUUUUUCCUGCCGGCCUGCCCCCAAUUCAAACUAACAUACUGACCUCAAUUUACAAUAUAUUUGGCUUAGCAAAGAACAUGAGUAGGUGACUGGGAUGGGUAUAAAUUACAGGCAGGCAGCUGAGGCAGGCAGCUGAGCUGGAAGGGAUGCAGGACAGGUGUGGCUUUUGGGUGGUUGCACGUGUAACCCUUUGAGCCUACGGAAUGUCAAGAUGGGUCCGAAGGGGUAGCAAGGGUUUGUAGGGGUCGUAGGGCAGCCAGGGUUUGUAGGGGCCGUAAGGUUUAGAUAGUUGGAGUCUUGCGGCCUUUCAACCUGAGCCUAUUUUACUUGAGCCUAUUUUGGAGUCUAUCAGUUGCCCUCGUAACGGGGGAGCCUUCUUUAGGAGGCUAUGUCCGUGGAUAAAAUUGUAUACUCAUGUGUGUAAAAGUGAGUUUUGUAAUUUUUCUUCGUGUAAGGUUGUUAUAUUGGUGGAGAAUGGAGGGGCUUUUAUUGUUUAUAAUAGGAUCCAUGUUUUAACAAAA